GACGAACGCUGGCGGCGUGCUUAACACAUGCAAGUCGAACGGAAAGGCCCUGCUUUUGUGGGAUGCUCGAGUGGCGAACGGAUGAGUAACACGUGAGUAACCUGCCAUUGACUUUGGGAUAACUUCAGGAAACUGGGGCUAAUAACGGAUAGGAGCUCCUGCUGCAUGGUGGGGGUUGGAAAGUUUCGGCGGUUGGGGAUGGACUCGCGGCUUAUCAGCUUGUUGGGGGGGUAGUGGCUUACCAAGGCUUUGCCGGGUAGCCGGCCUGAGAGGGUGACCGGCCACAUUGGGACUGAGAUACGGCCCAGACUCCUACGGGAGGCAGCAGUGGGGAAUAUUGCACAAUGGGCGGAAGCCUGAUGCAGCAACACCGCGUGCGGGAUGACGGCCUUCGGGUUGUAAACCGCUUUCGCCGGUGACAAAGCGUGAGUGACGGUAAUGGGUAAAGAAGCACCGGCUAACUACGUG
RNAcentral lists this ribosomal RNA (468 nucleotides) under uncultured bacterium. RNAcentral describes it as "partial 16S ribosomal RNA". It matches the Rfam family "Bacterial small subunit ribosomal RNA", at positions 28 to 507 of the family's 1533-position model. The record is from RNAcentral.